UAACGAAUCUUGGGCAAUGGGCGAAAGCCUGACGCAGCAACGCCGCGUGGAGGAAGAAGGCCUUCGGGUUGUAAACUCCUGUCAGGGGGAAAGAAGGCACCUGGGUGAAUAGCCCAAGGGCUGACGGUACCCCCAGAGGAAGCCACGGCUAACUACGUGCCAGCAGCCGCGGUAAUACGUAGGUGGCGAGCGUUGUCCGGAAUUAUUGGGCGUAAAGAGCGCGUAGGCGGCUUGCCAGGUCCGACGUGAAACCCCGGGGCUCAACUCCGGACGUGCAUCGGAAACCGGCUUGCGAGAGUCUGGGAGAGGGGAGUGGAAUUCCUGGUGUAGCGGUGAAAUGCGCAGAUAUCAGGAGGAACACCGGUAGCGAAGGCUGCUCCCUGGAACAGUACUGACGCUGAGGCGCGAAAGCUAGGGGAGCGAACA
RNAcentral lists this ribosomal RNA (426 nucleotides) under uncultured prokaryote. RNAcentral's name for it is "bacterial SSU rRNA". It matches the Rfam family "Bacterial small subunit ribosomal RNA", at positions 355 to 774 of the family's 1533-position model. The record is from RNAcentral.